Molecule: ribosomal RNA, 585 nt
Filed under: uncultured Alphaproteobacteria bacterium
Lineage: Bacteria; Pseudomonadati; Pseudomonadota; Alphaproteobacteria
Description: bacterial SSU rRNA
Rfam family: Bacterial small subunit ribosomal RNA
Source: RNAcentral
ACGCGUUGGGAGCUCUCCCAUAUGGUCGACCUGCAGGCGGCCGCGAAUUCACUAGUGAUUAGAGUUUGAUCAUGGCUCAGAGCGAACGCUGGCGGCAGGCCUAACACAUGCAAGUCGAGCGCCCCGCAAGGGGAGCGGCAGACGGGAGAGUAACACGUGGGAACGUACCCUUUGGUUCGGAACAACCCAGGGAAACUUGGGCUAAUACCGAAUAAGCCCUUACGGGGAAAGAUUUAUCGCCGAAGGAUCGGCCCGCGUCUGAUUAGCUAGUUGGUGAGGUAACGGCUCACCAAGGCGACGAUCAGUAGCUGGUCUGAGAGGAUGAUCAGCCUCACUGGGACUGAGACACGGCCCAGACUCCUACGGGAGGCAGCAGUGGGGAAUAUUGGACAAUGGGCGCAAGCCUGAUCCAGCCAUGCCGCGUGGGUGAUGAAGGCCCUAGGGUUGUAAAGCCCUUUCGGCGGGGAAGAUAAUGACGGUACCCGCAGAAGAAGCCCCGGCUAACUUCGUGCCAGCAGCCGCGGUAAUACGAAUCGAAUUCCCGCGGCCGCCAUGGCGGCCGGGAGCAUGCGACGUCGGGCCCAA